AGGCCAGUAGUUCAAUGGCAGAAUACCGGACUCCAAAUCCGGGGGUUGAAGGUUCGAGUCCUUCCUGGCCUGCCA
Molecule: transfer RNA, 75 nt
Filed under: Myxococcales bacterium
Lineage: Bacteria; Pseudomonadati; Myxococcota; Myxococcia; Myxococcales
Description: tRNA-Trp
Rfam family: tRNA
About the family: Transfer RNA (tRNA) molecules are approximately 80 nucleotides in length. Their secondary structure includes four short double-helical elements and three loops (D, anti-codon, and T loops).
Source: RNAcentral